Molecule: ribosomal RNA, 857 nt
Filed under: uncultured bacterium
Lineage: Bacteria
Description: bacterial SSU rRNA
Rfam family: Bacterial small subunit ribosomal RNA
Source: RNAcentral
AGAGUGAACGCUGGCGGCGUGCCUAACACAUGCAAGUCGAACGAGAACGGAACUAGCUUGCUAGUUUGUCAGCUAAGUGGCGCACGGGUGAGUAAUAUAUAGUUAAUCUGCCCCAAAGAAGAGAAUAAUUGUUGGAAACGACUUGUAAUGCUCUAUAUGCCUUUAUCACAUAAGUGAGCAAGGGAAACAUUUAUGGCUUUGGGAUGAGACUGUACGGUAUCAGCUAGUUGGUGAGGUAAUGGCUCACCAAGGCUAUGACAUCUAACUGGUUUGAGAGGAUGAUCAGUCACACUGGAACUGAGACACGGUCCAGACUCCUACGGGAGGCAGCAGUGGGGAAUAUUGCACAAUGGACGAAAGUCUGAUGCAGCAACGCCGCGUGGAGGAUGACACAUUUCGGUGCGUAAACUCCUUUUAUAUGAGAAGAUAAUGACGGUAUCAUAUGAAUAAGCACCGGCUAACUCCGUGCCAGCAGCCGCGGUAAUACGGGGGGUGCAAGCGUUACUCGGAAUCACUGGGCGUAAAGAGCAUGUAGGCUGGUUUGUAAGUUGGAAGUGAAAUCCUAUGGCUUAACCAUAGAACUGCUUCCAAAACUGCAGACCUAGAAUAUGGGAGAGGUAGAUGGAAUUUCUGGUGUAGGGGUAAAAUCCGUAGAGAUCAGAAGGAAUACCGAUUGCGAAGGCGAUCUACUGGAACAUUAUUGACGCUGAGAUGCGAAAGCGUGGGGAGCAAACAGGAUUAGAUACCCUGGUAGUCCACGCCCUAAACGAUGCACACUAGUUGUUGCCUUGCUCGACAAGGCAGUAAUGCAGUUAACACAGUAAGUGUGCCGCCUGGGGAGUACGGUCGCAAGAUUA